Molecule: ribosomal RNA, 653 nt
Filed under: uncultured Clostridium sp.
Lineage: Bacteria; Bacillati; Bacillota; Clostridia; Eubacteriales; Clostridiaceae
Description: bacterial SSU rRNA
Rfam family: Bacterial small subunit ribosomal RNA
Source: RNAcentral
UGGGGAAUAUUGCGCAAUGGGGGAAACCCUGACGCAGCAACGCCGCGUGAAGGAAGAAGGCCUUCGGGUUGUAAACUUCUUUGAUUGGGGACGAAGGAAGUGACGGUACCCAAAGAACAAGUCACGGCUAACUACGUGCCAGCAGCCGCGGUAAUACGUAGGUGGCGAGCGUUGUCCGGAAUUACUGGGUGUAAAGGGCGCGUAGGCGGGAUGCAAGUCAGAUGUGAAAUUCCGGGGCUUAACCCCGGGGCUACAUCUGAAACUGUAUCUCUUGAGUGCUGGAGAGGAAAGCGGAAUUCCUAGUGUAGCGGUGAAAUGCGUAGAUAUUAGGAGGAACACCAGUGGCGAAGGCGGCUUUCUGGACAGUAACUGACGCUGAGGCGCGAACGCGUGGGGAGCAAACAGGAUUAGAUACCCUGGUAGUCCACGCCGUAAACGAUGGAUACUAGGUGUAGGAGGUAUCGACCCCUUCUGUGCCGGAGUUAACACAAUAAGUAUCCCACCUGGGGAGUACGGCCGCAAGGUUGAAAUUCAAAGGAAUUGACGGGGGCCCGCACAAGCCGUGGAGUAUGUGGUUUAAUUCGAAGCAACGCGAAGAACCUUACCAGGGCUUGACAUCCCUCUGACAGCUCUAGAGAUAGGGCUUCCUUCGG